UACGAAGGGGGCUAGCGUUGUUCGGAAUCACUGGGCGUAAAGCGCACGUAGGCGGAUCUUUAAGUCAGGGGUGAAAUCCCGAGGCUCAACCUCGGAACUGCCUUUGAUACUGGGGAUCUCGAGUCCGGGAGAGGUGAGUGGAACUGCGAGUGUAGAGGUGAAAUUCGUAGAUAUUCGCAAGAACACCAGUGGCGAAGGCGGCUCACUGGCCCGGAACUGACGCUGAGGUGCGAAAGCGUGGGGGAGCAAACAG
Molecule: ribosomal RNA, 253 nt
Filed under: uncultured bacterium
Lineage: Bacteria
Description: partial 16S ribosomal RNA
Rfam family: Bacterial small subunit ribosomal RNA
Source: RNAcentral